GCCUCACCCAAAUUCUCUCUCAACUCUUAUCUAACACAGACAACAAAAAAUCCAAUUAUUUACCACUGCAUCUAUUUAAAUGGAGUUAGCUGUCCCAUUUGCUCAUUUUAAGUGUUACCUUUUCCAGCAUUUCAAGGGUUUAAAGCUGCAUUUCAGGGCACUUCUACCCACACCCCGGCACCAAAUAUUUCCAACGGGAGCAAGCCCAGCGGGGGAAUCAGCAGGGGCAAAGAGCUCCUCUCUCAUUUCAGUGAAGAAGCUCUUUCAACUUACUUCAGCCUGCUAAAAGCAGGCAUCUUUUGGGCAUUCGAAGCAGCAGAAGUUUUGAAAACACCUUGAAGAAAACAAUAUUGAAUACAGGGAGUAUUUAAGUUUAUGAUUCUGGGCUGGGGGUUCAGGGGCAAUGAGAUGCUUUUAUCAUGACUCUUCUUCAUGGCUUUUUUUUUAGGAGGAUUGCAAUUUCCAGAAGUUCUAGAUCACGUCAAGUGCAAUAUUUCAGAUUCUCUCAGCAGAUUCAUCGUAACACAAAGGGAACCGCCCCCGCAGCAGCUUUCCUUAGCAGCGGAUCGGCCUCUCGCACAUAUUCGCUUCGGAGAGAUAAGUCGAGGGCUGUGGUCACAGAGGGGAUCAAAACAGGGCGGUGGGGAAGGAUUCACACCGGUUAGGGGUUUUGAGUCAUGAGGAGGGGAAGGUUUGAGAAAUGGCCUCCAGGGCCACAGUGAGGGAAAGGCUCACUUUAGCUAACAAUGCUGAGGCGGGCAGGGCAGAGCAGUCCCAGGGUGGGUUGUCACUUGUCUCUCGUGCUUUGGUAUCUUCUGUGCAUCUCAUGUAAAGUGUCUCUUGCCUUAGCCCUCCCAGGAGCUUAUGAGAAACACCAGGUCCUUACGUUCAUCUCCCAUCUUUGCGUUCCUCGGCCCGACACCGGAGAAACUUCCAUUCGGGAGCUCAGACACACGUCAGAAGCGCAUCUGUCUUUAGAAGCAUGUGAUCGUAUGUCUUUUUAGGUCUCGUUCUCCGCUGUGUCGACAGCUAUGUGCAGCAAUGUUUCUUUACAGUGGAUAAGGACUUGUGCCGAUUCAAAGGCAGGCAGAGGCUUCCAGCCACAGGAUUCUCAGGCAUCUGUCUCUGCUGUUCUUGGAAAAAGUUGUUCCGUUAGCAUCUUUUUCCUCCGGGGUCGUCCGAGCCCGGCAGGCUCGCCUUGGGUCCCUCAUCGAUCAUCACGUUCAGCAUUCUCUCGGUCCUCGUGAGGACUUUCUUGUCUCAGAGAGUUUUCUCUCCCUGUCACGUCCCCUCGUCUCACGUGUCACGGGUGUCUGGGGGUAUUUGGUCCGGAGCUGCUCUGCCCUGCCGCCCAGCCCGGUUGUAGGUGUUUAAGGAUAAGUCCCGGGCACUUGUAAUCGGAGACUUGUAGUACGGGCUGUGGUUGGGAGUCUAGGUGGUAUUCUUCUGUUGGCAGCAGGUGUCUGGAGCUGUGAAGUUACCCUGCAGCACUUUGACUCUUUUCCUAACUUUCUUUCAGAUGCAGACAGAUUGACCUCGUGGCAGAGCACCUGUCCCAGAUGAUGGGGUUCCCCUUGAGAAGGAAGUAAAGCCGGAUAGCAGCAGGGAAGGCGAAGCAGGUGGAAGGCUGCCUCCUGAUGCUGUGCUGAGGCCCCCUCACUGACCUGCCAAGAGACCCGGUUUGCUUCUCUGGUGAGCCCCAGGAAAUAUUACCGGAGUCUGUGACGAAGCCUCGACCUCGUCCACGUGUCGGCGAACCCUGCGACGACGGCGUCCGCCUCGGGGCGUGGCCGAAGCGUGCGGCCCGAGGACCUGGGAGUUCCUAAGAGACAGUGAUGAUACUUGUCUGAGACAACAGCCAGGUGAGAGAAGAACUUCCCAGACAGAGAGGUGGCUUUGUUCGGUCCCUGACCGGCCUCUCGCUGUGACUCACAUCUUCAGCCCUCUGAGAGAUAAGUGGAGCCCACAGAGGGGAUCAAAGCAGGGCGGCGGGUCGGGACUGAGAUCGGUUUGGGUUUUUGAGUGAGCUUUGGGGAUGGGGAGGUUCUGGAAAUGACCCCACAGGCCUCUGUGAAGGAAAGCCUCACUUUGGCUCGCAAUGCUGAGGCAGGCAAGGCAGAGCACUCCCAGGGUGGGUUGUCACUUGUCUCUCGUGCCUUCUGUGUCUUCUGUGCAUCUCGUGUAAUGUCUCUUGCCUUAGCCCUCCCAGGAGCUUAUGAGAAACACCAGGUCCUUACGUUCAUCUCCCAUCUUUGCGUUCCUCGGCCCGACGCCGGCGAAACUUCAAUUCGGGAGCUCUGACACACGUCAGAAUCGCAUCUGUCUUCAGAAGCAUGUGAUCGGAUGUCUUUUUUGGUCUCAUUCUCCGCUGUGUCGACAGCUAUAUGCAGCAGUGUUUUUUUUACAGUGGAUAAGGACUUGUGCCGAUUCAAAGGCAGGCAGAGGCUCCCAGCCACAGGAUUCUCAGGCAUCCAUCUCUGCGGUUCUUGGAAAAAGUUGUUCCGUUAGCAUCUUUUUCCUCCGGGGUCAUCCGAGCCCGGCAGGCUCGCCUUGGGUCCCUCCUCGGUCAUCUCGUUCAGCAUUCUCUCGGUCCUCGUGAGGACUUUCUUGUCUCAGAGUUUUCUCUCCCUGUCAUGUCCCCUCGUGUCACGGGUGUCUGGGGGUAUUUGGUCCGGAGCUGCUCUGCCCUGCCGCCCAGCCCGGUUGUAGGUGUUUAAGGACAAGUCCCGGGCACUUGUAAUUGGAGAUUUGUAAUAUGGGCUGUAGUUGGAGUCUAGGUGGUAUUCUUAUGUUGGCAGCAGGUGUCUGGAGCUGUGAAGUUACCCUGCAGCACUUUGACUUUUUUCCUAACUUUCUUUCAGAUGCAGAUGGGUUGACCUCGUGGCAGAGCACCUGUCCCAGAUGAGGGGGUCCCCCUGAGGAGGAAGUAAAGCUGGAAAGCAGCGGGUAAGGCGAAGCAGGUGGAAGGCUGCCUCCUGAUGCUGUGCUGAGGCCCCCUCACUGACCUGCCAAGAGACCCGGUUUGCUUCUCUGGUGAGCCCCAGGAAAUAUUACCGGAGUCUGUGACGAAGCCUCGACCUCGUCCACGUGUCUGUGCGGUUCGGGUACCCUUUAGGCGCGGCCGAGGAGUCACGGCAAGUCGGGGGCGUCGGAAGGAGCGGGGAGGGCGCUCUCAACUUUUAGCGACGCUACAUCGCCUCCUGUCCGUUUAUCCUAGGCGAACCCUGCAACGACGGCGUCCGCCUCGGGGCGUGGCCGAAGCGUGCGGCCCGAGGACCUGGGAGUUCCUAAGAGACGGUGAUGAUACUUGUCUGAGACAACAGCCAGGUGAGAGAAGAACUUCCCAGACAGUGAGGUGGCUUUGUUUGGCUCCCUGACCGGCCUCUCGCUGUGACUCACAUCUUCAGCCCUCUGAGAGAUAAGUGGAACCCGCAGAGAGGAUCAAAGCAGGGCGGUGGGUCGGGACUGAGAUCGGUUUGGGUUUUUGAGUGAGCUUUGGGGAUGGGGAGGUUCUGGAAAUGACCCCAUAGGCCCCAGUGAGGGGAAGCCUCACUUUGGUUUGUAACGCUGAGGCGAACAGGGCAGAGCAGUCCCAGGGUGUGUUGUCACUUGUCUCUCGUGCCUUCUGUGUCUUCUGUGCAUCUCGUGUAACAUGUCUCUUGCCUUAGCCCUCCCAGGAGCUUAUGAGAAACCCCGGGGUCCUUCUGUUCGUCUCCUAUCUUUGCGUUCCUCGGCGCGGCGCCGGCGAAGCUUCGAUUCGGGAGCUCUGACACGUGUCAGAAUUGCAUCAGUCUUUAGAAGCAUGUGAUCGGAUGUUUUUUUAGGUCUUGUUCUCAGCUGUGUCGACAGCUAUAUGCAGCAGUGUUUUUUUACAGUGGAUAAGGACUUGUGCCGAUUCAAAGGCAGGCAGAGGCUUCCAGCCACAGGAUUCUCAGGCAUCCAUCUCUGCGGUUCUUGGAAAAAGUUGUUCCAUUAGCAUCUUUUUCCUCCGGGGUCAUCCGAGCCCGGCAGGCUCGCCUUGGGUCCCUCCUCGGUCAUCACGUUCAGCAUUCUCUCGGUCCUCGUGAGGACUUUCUUGUCUCAGAGAGUUUUCUCUCCCUGUCACGUCCCCUCGUCUCACGUGUCACGGGUGUCUGGGGGUAUUUGGUCCGGAGCUGCUCUGCCCUGCCGCCCAGCCCGGUUGUAGGUGUUUAAGGACAAGUCCCGGGCACUUGUAAUUGGAGAUUUGUAAUACGGGCUGUAGUUGGAGUCUAGGUGGUAUUCUUCUGUUUGCAGCAGGUGUCUGGAGCUGUGAAGUUACCCUGCAGCACUUUGACUUUUUUCCUAACUUUCUUUCAGAUGCAGACGGUUUGACCUCGUGGCAGAGCACCUGUCCCAGAUGAGGGGGUCCCCCUGAGGAGGAAGUAAAGCUGGAAAGCAGCGGGUAAGGCGAAGCAGGUGGAAGGUGGUCUACUUGCAAGAUAUCCCAGCCCAGGAUGCUGGAGGACAGGAUUCGGCGUUGCCCCGAGCACGGCAAGGAGCAGAGAUGAGCAGGUCUCUGAUGCCUAUUUUCUGAGGAUCUACCAUUUGAUGUUGAGAAGCAGCAGUGAGAAGAUAUGUCAGGGCAUUUUGUUCAGCAGAGUGUUUCAAAUAAGGGUUGCAGUCACUGUGUGAGUUAGUCUCCUGCUGCAUGUCAGAGCGUGUCUGUCUGUGAGAGUCGGUGGGUCUGGGUCUGCUUGUGUGCAUGUGUGUCGAGUGGUUCUAACCUUGUCUGUAUGGCUUUUGCUUUUCAGGACUUGCAAUUCACUUUUAAAUUUAGAAUAAAAAAUCCCCAGCUGGGGGGGUUUUUUUUUUUUCCCUCCCAGCUGGGGUUUUUUUUCCUCGGUCCCGGCCGGUCUGCGAGG
Molecule: non-coding RNA, 4883 nt
Organism: Cyanistes caeruleus (blue tit)
Lineage: Eukaryota; Metazoa; Chordata; Aves; Passeriformes; Paridae
Source: RefSeq, a predicted model, not a curated record